GCGCUCUCUGGAUAGGCCAGGGAGCAUGCCUCUUUGAGCAUCGUUUUCACCUCUGCUCGACUGCGCUCUUUCACUAGAGCCGCGUGUCGGAAGAUGAGUGCUCUCAUUCAUUUAUUGAGUGAGUGCCUUGAAAUGCGGUGAGCUUUUCUAACCUUUCACACUAUGCGACGCUUUCGCUCGUACUGUGUGCUGUGGAUAAUUUAUUAUUCAACAGCUGCACUGUAUGAAAGUGUUUGCGUGAAUAAACGGAAAAUGUCUCAGUGGAAAUUAAAUUCUCUUGAAUUAGAUCUCAAAUGAAGUAAGAUUACCCGCUGAACUUAAGCAUAUUAUUAAGCGGAGGAAAAGAAACUAACAAGGAUGCCCUCAGUAACGGCGAGUGAAGCGGGCAAAGCUCAACCUGAAAAUCGGGUAUCCAAGCGGGUGCUCGAAUUGUGGGCUAGAGACGCGUGAUCAGUGUGUGACCCAGAUAUAAAUCUUUUGAAACAAGGUGUCAUAGAGGGUGAGAACCCCGUCUGUGAUCUGGAGCUUCGCCGCGUACGAUCCGUGUUCGUAGAGUCGAGUUGUUUGGGAUUGCAGC
Molecule: ribosomal RNA, 577 nt
Filed under: Cercomonas rotunda
Lineage: Eukaryota; Cercozoa; Cercomonadida; Cercomonadidae
Description: eukaryotic LSU rRNA
Rfam family: Eukaryotic large subunit ribosomal RNA (bases 285-577)
Source: RNAcentral